This 320-nucleotide unclassified non-coding RNA is filed under the name plant metagenome. RNAcentral describes it as "partial contains 5.8S ribosomal RNA, internal transcribed spacer 2, and large subunit ribosomal RNA". The stretch from base 1 to 105 matches the Rfam family "5.8S ribosomal RNA", at positions 50 to 154 of the family's 154-position model. The record is from RNAcentral.
GAAAUGCGAUAAGUAAUGUGAAUUGCAGAAUUCAGUGAAUCAUCGAAUCUUUGAACGCACAUUGCGCCCGCCAGUAUUCUGGCGGGCAUGCCUGUUCGAGCGUCAUUACAACCCUCAGGCCCCCGGGCCUGGCGUUGGGGAUCGGCGGAAGCCCCCUGCGGGCACAACGCCGUCCCCCAAAUACAGUGGCGGUCCCGCCGCAGCUUCCAUUGCGUAGUAGCUAACACCUCGCAACUGGAGAGCGGCGCGGCCACGCCGUAAAACACCCAACUUCUGAAUGUUGACCUCGAAUCAGGGAGGAAUACCCGCUGAACUUAAGC